This 554-nucleotide ribosomal RNA is filed under the name uncultured bacterium. RNAcentral describes it as "bacterial SSU rRNA". It matches the Rfam family "Bacterial small subunit ribosomal RNA", at positions 58 to 595 of the family's 1533-position model. The record is from RNAcentral.
CAAGUCGAGCGAAUCUUGAGGUGCUUGCACCUCUUGGUUAGCGGCGGACGGGUGAGUAACACGUGGGCAACCUGCCUGUAAGACUGGGAUAACACCGGGAAACCGGUGCUAAUACCGGAUAAUCCUUUUCCUCUCACGAGGAAAAGCUGAAAGUCGGUUUCGGCUGACACUUACAGAUGGGCCCGCGGCGCAUUAGCUAGUUGGUGAGGUAACGGCUCACCAAGGCAACGAUGCGUAGCCGACCUGAGAGGGUGAUCGGCCACACUGGGACUGAGACACGGCCCAGACUCCUACGGGAGGCAGCAGUAGGGAAUCUUCCGCAAUGGACGAAAGUCUGACGGAGCAACGCCGCGUGAGCGAUGAAGGCCUUCGGGUCGUAAAGCUCUGUUGUUAGGGAAGAACAAGUAUCGGAGUAACUGCCGGUACCUUGACGGUACCUAACCAGAGAGCCACGGCUAACUACGUGCCAGCAGCCGCGGUAAUACGUAGGUGGCAAGCGUUGUCCGGAAUUAUUGGGCGUAAAGCGCGCGCAGGCGGUUCUUUAAGUCUGAUGU